CCAUGUAUCAGAUUUGGUUGUUUAGAUACCGCUUGAUCUUCAACACUGAGGUGAUGCUUGUGCAUCAGAUGUUGGAAAGAGCUUAUUAUCUUUUGAAGAAGUAUAGCCGUUCUGAUGCUGCUUGUCAGUCCCUAGUUUCUGAGAUUCUUUUGCUGCUCAUGCAGUGAUCUAGAAAAUUCUUUUGAUUUUCUGAGAGCCUCUAUCCUUGAGAUUUAUCAAGAUUAAUUUUGAUAACAGUGUGAGAGAUGGCAUAGGUAGUAC
RNAcentral lists this long non-coding RNA (261 nucleotides) under Elaeis guineensis (African oil palm). RNAcentral's name for it is "long non-coding RNA (EGUI_LNC022295)". The record is from RNAcentral. Lineage: Eukaryota; Viridiplantae; Streptophyta; Magnoliopsida; Arecales; Arecaceae.